CUUUAUUGUGGGACCUCGUGUCAUCAUGAAUGAUAAGGUGCAUUGUGUAAUGCAAUUGUUUAAGGAAUAUCACAAGAUUGCUAGUUAGCCAAUCAGAAUAAUGUAUUAUAAUGAAACAUACAUCUAAUGUAAUUAUUUAUUAUUGAAUUUUGUCAUUUUGAACUGAAAUGCAAUCUUAAAUAUUUGAGAUAUUGUGAAAAAUCCUGUUUAAUUCAUAUAAAAAAA
RNAcentral lists this long non-coding RNA (225 nucleotides) under Mytilus galloprovincialis (Mediterranean mussel). Lineage: Eukaryota; Metazoa; Mollusca; Bivalvia; Mytilida; Mytilidae. The record is from RNAcentral.